UACGUAGGUGGCAAGCGUUGUUCGGAAUUAUUGGGCGUAAAGGGCGCGUAGGCGGUUUGUUAAGUCGGUCGUGAAAGCCCGGGGCUCAACCCCGGAGGGUCGACCGAUACUGGCAGACUAGAGUACAGAAGAGGUAACUGGAAUUCCCGGUGUAGCGGUGAAAUGCGUAGAUAUCGAGAGGAACACCUGCGGCGAAGGCGGGUUGCUGGGCCGACACUGACGCUGAUGCGCGAAAGCCAGGGGAGCGAACGGG
Molecule: ribosomal RNA, 253 nt
Filed under: uncultured bacterium
Lineage: Bacteria
Description: partial 16S ribosomal RNA
Rfam family: Bacterial small subunit ribosomal RNA
Source: RNAcentral